This 72-nucleotide transfer RNA is filed under the name Marmota marmota marmota (Alpine marmot). It matches the Rfam family "tRNA". From Rfam's summary of the family: Transfer RNA (tRNA) molecules are approximately 80 nucleotides in length. Their secondary structure includes four short double-helical elements and three loops (D, anti-codon, and T loops). Further hydrogen bonds mediate the characteristic L-shaped molecular structure. tRNAs have two regions of fundamental functional importance: the anti-codon, which is responsible for specific mRNA codon recognition, and the 3' end, to which the tRNAs corresponding amino acid is attached (by aminoacyl-tRNA synthetases). tRNAs cope with the degeneracy of the genetic code in two manners: having more than one tRNA (with a specific anti-codon) for a particular amino acid; and 'wobble' base-pairing, i.e. permitting non-standard base-pairing at the 3rd anti-codon position. Lineage: Eukaryota; Metazoa; Chordata; Mammalia; Rodentia; Sciuridae. RNAcentral also lists the same sequence under 1 other name. The record is from Rfam by way of RNAcentral.
UGAGGUGUAGCUCAGUGGUAGAGCACUUGCCUAGCAUGCAUGAGGCACUGGGUUUGAUUCCUAGCAUUGUAA